Molecule: ribosomal RNA, 463 nt
Filed under: uncultured bacterium
Lineage: Bacteria
Description: partial 16S ribosomal RNA
Rfam family: Bacterial small subunit ribosomal RNA
Source: RNAcentral
GAUGAACGCUGACAGAAUGCUUAACACAUGCAAGUCUUUGGUGAAGCUGUGCUUGCACCGCCUAGCCAAGGCGGACGGGUGAGUAACGCGUAAGGAACUUGCCCUGCAGUCAGGGAUAACAGACGGAAACGACUGAUAAGACCUGGUAAAGUCAGGCGGACUCAUGUCCAGCCUGAUGAAAAGAGAUGCUGCAGGAGAGCCUUGCGUCCUAUUAGCUUGUUGGUGGGGUAACGGCCCACCAAGGCAAUGAUAGGUAGCCGGCCUGAGAGGGUGGACGGCCACAAGGGGACUGAGAUACGGCACUUACUCCUACGGGAGGCAGCAGUGGGGAAUAUUGGACAAUGGGGGCAACCCUGAUCCAGCAAUUCUGUGUGCACGAUGAAGGUUUUCGGAUUGUAAAGUGCUUUCAGCAGGGAAGAAAAAAAUGACGGUACCUGCAGAAGAAGCGACGGCUAAAUACGUG